UCUCUCUCCGACAUCCUACCUCAGGGUCUUCACAGCAACCCUGUGAGAGAGGAAGCACCACAAAUAAUAAAUUACUUUUUCUGCAGAAGGGGAAACGGAACCGUGAGACAGGGAGUCCUUGCCUGAGGUUGCCUGGGAAGUAGAGAUCACAUUGAUUUACAGGUCGGAGGUCUCCUAACUGGGUUCUACUCUUCUCACCUGCGCCCGCCUCAUCUAGGCCUGUUCACGUCUCAACAGCCACGCCCCAGACAUCAGUCUAGGUCCUAAAGCGUCUUAGUGCACAAGCCACAUAUCCCCUGGUCUCAGACGGGCAAACGAGCGCAAAGAGUGACAACGAUGUGGCAAAGAUGGAGUUGAAAGAAGGAGAACUAGUGGAAAGUAUGUACCAGGAAUAGAUAGAUCCUGAGAUCCUGAGUCUUCCUUACUGACAUGCGGACACAUGGUGGCUGUCAGCUAGGCCCUCUGUGGGAACUAUCAGCUGGAACACAUUUACAUAGCCUCUCCCUGUGGCCUGAGCUUCCUCACAGCACAGCAGCUGGGUUUCGAACUUGAGUAUCCCAAGAAAUAGACUGAUAGAAGCUGCCUGGCCUCUUCUCAUUUAACCUUGGAAGUUACAGAGUGUAACCACAGCUCAGACAAGAAUCAAGACACAUACACAUCGGGCUUCCCUGGUGGCACAGUGGUUGAGAAUCUGUCUGCCAAUGCAGAGGACAUGGGUUCGAGCCCUGGUCUGGGAAAAUCCCACAUGCUGCAGAGCAGCUAAGCCCGUGAGCCGCAACUACUCAGCCUGCACUCUAGAGCCCACAAGCCACAACUACCAAAGUCCACGCACCUAGAGUCCAUGCUCUGCAACAAGAGAAGCCACCGCAAUGAGUAGCCCAUGCACUGCAACGAAGAGUAGCCCCCACUCGCCGCAACUAGAGAAAGCCUGCGCGCAGCAUGAAGACCCAAUGCAGCCAAAAAUGAACAAAUAAAUAAAAGACACAUACAUAUCAUUAUCAUAUUUUUCAAUGGGUUCCUAAAGCUUCUUAUACAUAGGAAAUUUUAUUUUUACUUCCCAGGUUUAUCUGCUUAGUAGCUAA
Long non-coding RNA from Physeter macrocephalus (sperm whale), 1082 nucleotides. RefSeq lists it as uncharacterized. The record is from RefSeq and is a predicted model, not a curated record. NCBI's taxonomy places the organism in Eukaryota, Metazoa, Chordata, Mammalia, Artiodactyla, Physeteridae. The transcript has 3 exons.